UACGAAGGGGGCUAGCGUUGUUCGGAAUCACUGGGCGUAAAGGGUGCGUAGGCGGGUCUUUAAGUCAGGGGGGAAAUCCUGGAGCUCAACUCCAGAACUGCCUUUGAUACUGAAGAUCUUGAGUUCGGGAGAGGUGAGUGGAACUGCGAGUGUAGAGGUGAAAUUCGUAGAUAUUCGCAAGAACACCAGUGGCGAAGGCGGCUCACUGGCCCGAUACUGACGCUGAGGCACGAAAGCGUGGGGAGCAAACAGG
RNAcentral lists this ribosomal RNA (253 nucleotides) under uncultured bacterium. RNAcentral describes it as "partial 16S ribosomal RNA". It matches the Rfam family "Bacterial small subunit ribosomal RNA", at positions 524 to 776 of the family's 1533-position model. The record is from RNAcentral.